UGUCCAGUAGCACCUUAGAGACCAACUGAGUUUGUUCUGGGUAUAAGCUUUCGUGUGGUCUCUAAGGUGCUACUGGACA
Molecule: non-coding RNA, 79 nt
Organism: Podarcis lilfordi (Lilford's wall lizard)
Lineage: Eukaryota; Metazoa; Chordata; Lepidosauria; Squamata; Lacertidae
Source: the annotation of a GenBank genome assembly